GGAUUUUCAUCCUGAGUAACGUAGCUAACGCGUGAAGUCAGCCGCCUGGGGAGUACGGCCGCAAGAUUAAAACUCAAAGGAAUUGACGGGGACCCGCACAAGCGGUGGAUGAUGUGGAUUAAUUCGAUGCAACGCGAAAAACCUUACCUACCCUUGACAUGUCACUAACGAAGUAGAGAUACAUUAGGUGCCCGUAAGGGAAAGUGAACACAGGUGCUGCAUGGCUGUCGUCAGCUCGUGUCGUGAGAUGUUGGGUUAAGUCCCGCAACGAGCGCAACCCUUGUCUUUAGUUGCUACGCAAGAGCACUCUAAAGAGACUGCCGGUGACAAACCGGAGGAAGGUGGGGAUGACGUCAAGUCCUCAUGGCCCUUAUGGGUAGGGCUUCACACGUCAUACAAUGGUGCAUACAGAGGGUUGCCAACCCGCGAGGGGGAGCUAAUCUCAGAAAAUGCAUCGUAGUCCGGAUCGUAGUCUGCAACUCGACUACGUGAAGCUGGAAUCGCUAGUAAUCGCGGAUCAGAAUGUCGCGGUGAAUACGUUCCCGGGUCUUGUACACACCGCCCGUCAUACCAUGGGAGUGGGUUUUGCCAGAAGCCGUUAGCCUAACCGCAAGGAGGGCGACUGCCACGGCAGGGUUCAUGACUGGGGUAAAGUCGUAACAAGGUAGCCGUAUCGGAAGGUGC
Molecule: ribosomal RNA, 684 nt
Filed under: uncultured bacterium
Lineage: Bacteria
Description: bacterial SSU rRNA
Rfam family: Bacterial small subunit ribosomal RNA
Source: RNAcentral